AUUGAACGCUGGCGGCAGGCCUAACACAUGCAAGUCGAGCGGAUGAAGGGAGCUUGCUCCUGGAUUCAGCGGCGGACGGGUGAGUAAUGCCUAGGAAUCUGCCUGGUAGUGGGGGAUAACGUCCGGAAACGGGCGCUAAUACCGCAUACGUCCUGAGGGAGAAAGUGGGGGAUCUUCGGACCUCACGCUAUCAGAUGAGCCUAGGUCGGAUUAGCUAGUUGGUGGGGUAAAGGCCUACCAAGGCGACGAUCUGUAACUGGUCUGAGAGGAUGAUCAGUCACACUGGAACUGAGACACGGUCCAGACUCCUACGGGAGGCAGCAGUGGGGAAUAUUGGACAAUGGGCGAAAGCCUGAUCCAGCCAGGCCGCGUGUGUGAAGAAGGUCUUCGGAUUGUAAAGCACUUUAAGUUGGGAGGAAGGGCAGUAAGUUAAUACCUUGCUGUUUUGACGUUACCAACAGAAUAAGCACCGGCUAACUUCGUG
Molecule: ribosomal RNA, 484 nt
Filed under: uncultured bacterium
Lineage: Bacteria
Description: partial 16S ribosomal RNA
Rfam family: Bacterial small subunit ribosomal RNA
Source: RNAcentral